ACAAACUGAUGAGGACAGUGACUCAGAGGAGAAUUUGUGUGGAAUACAAGAGAGCUGUACCACUGGGCUGUGUCAUCACCCUCAGCUGGAAACAGACGUUGAGUCAGUCAGGACUUUGUAUUCAGACUCUGCGAUCUCUGUCAGGGUGUACGACUCAAUUGAUGAUGUGGAUGUUGACUUAAACAUCAAUACCAACUUCCUGGGCGAGGAGGUGGCCAAAGCAUGGGGGGUUAAUUCAUCAGAGCCCAUUGUUAUCCGUCUGCACUUUUCUCUCUCCCAGUAUCUGGACGGCCCUGCACCUUCUGUUGAAGUCUUUCAGCCAAGCAACUCAGAUCAUUUCAGUGUCGGGAAACAACUAGAGAA
This is a long non-coding RNA of Solea senegalensis (Senegalese sole), 363 nucleotides long. RefSeq lists it as uncharacterized. NCBI's taxonomy places the organism in Eukaryota, Metazoa, Chordata, Actinopteri, Pleuronectiformes, Soleidae. The transcript has 5 exons. The record is from RefSeq and is a predicted model, not a curated record.